CUUAAGUGGGGAAUAACGCAUCGAAAGAUGUGCUAAUACCGCAUAAUCUCUAAGGAGAAAAGCAGGGGAUCGUAAGACCUUGUGCUUUUGGAGUGGCCGAUGCCUGAUUAGCUAGUUGGUAGGGUAAAGGCCUACCAAGGCGACGAUCAGUAGUUGGUCCGAGAGGACGACCAGCCACACUGGGACUGAGACACGGCCCAGACUCCUACGGGAGGCAGCAGUGGGGAAUUUUGGACAAUGGGCGAAAGCCUGAUCCAGCAAUGCCGCGUGAGUGAAGAAGGCCUUCGGGUUGUAAAGCGCUUUCAGUCGAGAAGAAAAGGUUGCGACGAAUAAUCGUAACUCAUGACGGUAUCGACAGAAGAAGCACCGGCUAACUACGUGCCAGCAGCCGCGGUAAUACGUAGGGUGCGAGCGUUAAUCGGAAUUACUGGGCGUAAAGGGUGCGCAGGCGGCUUUGUAAGUCAGAUGUGAAAUCCCCGGGCUUAACCUGGGAAUUGCGUUUGAAACUACAAGGCUAG
RNAcentral lists this ribosomal RNA (518 nucleotides) under uncultured bacterium. RNAcentral describes it as "bacterial SSU rRNA". It matches the Rfam family "Bacterial small subunit ribosomal RNA", at positions 131 to 644 of the family's 1533-position model. The record is from RNAcentral.